This 466-nucleotide ribosomal RNA is filed under the name uncultured bacterium. Its description in RNAcentral is "partial 16S ribosomal RNA". It matches the Rfam family "Bacterial small subunit ribosomal RNA", at positions 28 to 507 of the family's 1533-position model. The record is from RNAcentral.
GAUGAACGCUGGCGGCGUGCUUAACACAUGCAAGUCGAACGAUGAAGCCCAGCUUGCUGGGUGGAUUAGUGGCGAACGGGUGAGUAACACGUGAGUAACCUGCCCUUAACUCUGGGAUAAGCCUGGGAAACUGGGUCUAAUACCGGAUAGGAGCGUCCACCGCAUGGUGGGUGUUGGAAAGAUUUAUCGGUUUUGGACGGACUCGCGGCCUAUCAGCUUGUUGGUGGGGUAAUGGCUCACCAAGGCGACGACGGGUAGCCGGCCUGAGAGGGUGACCGGCCACACUGGGACUGAGACACGGCCCAGACUCCUACGGGAGGCAGCAGUGGGGAAUAUUGCACAAUGGGCGCAAGCCUGAUGCAGCGACGCCGCGUGAGGGAUGACGGCCUUCGGGUUGUAAACCUCUUUCAGUAGGGAAGAAGCGAAAGUGACGGUACCUGCAGAAGAAGCACCGGCUAACUACGUG